GUCACUUUUUCUUUUGUUGGAGGGCGCAUAGUUUUUCAAUCUCAUGUUUUUUGAGGUAACUAUUAAAAAUAAUUAUUUAAAUGAUUAUAACCAAUGCUUCAUAAAAAGAAUGUGUGACGACAUAAGGAUUUGUUUUGUUCAUUUAUUUGUUCAAUUCAUUUAUCAAGGAAGUGGAAAACGCUCAACGCUUCCUGAAUACCUGGGAAGAAAUGCGUCAAGCUUAUUCUGUGACUGCUGAUUUGGAUUUCUACUGCAAAGGAGGAGUUGAGUUUGGAAAUCCCACUCCCUGACUGCACUUCAUGCACUUUAAGCUGGGGACAUUAAACAGUGGACAUCAGUUUUCAGUUUUAUGUACUCCAGUUUUCAGGUGACCUGAGCCCUAGUGACAAGGCC
Pelobates cultripes (western spadefoot toad) is the source of this 393-nucleotide non-coding RNA. The record is from the annotation of a GenBank genome assembly. Lineage: Eukaryota; Metazoa; Chordata; Amphibia; Anura; Pelobatidae.